AUUAAUAAGCGGAGGAAAAGAAACUAACGAGGAUUCCCUCAGUAACGGCGAGUGAAGCGGGAAGAGCCCAGCGCCGAAUCGUCCGUCCCCGCGACGGCGCGAACUGUGGCGUUCAGGACAGCCGAUGGGGAUCGGCGUGGCGGUCCGAGUCCCUCUGAUCGGGGCUUCGCCCACAGCGGGUGGCAGGCCUCUACGGCCGCCGGCCGGUCCCCUAAGGUCGCCCUAGGAGUCGGGUUGUUUGAGAAUGCAGCCCAAAGCGGGUGGUAAACUCCAUCUAAGGCUAAACACAGACACGAGUCCGAUAGCGCACAAGUACCGUGAGGGAAAGUU
Molecule: ribosomal RNA, 330 nt
Filed under: Grania americana
Lineage: Eukaryota; Metazoa; Annelida; Clitellata; Enchytraeida; Enchytraeidae
Description: eukaryotic LSU rRNA
Rfam family: Eukaryotic large subunit ribosomal RNA
Source: RNAcentral